RNAcentral lists this ribosomal RNA (579 nucleotides) under uncultured bacterium. RNAcentral's name for it is "partial 16S ribosomal RNA". It matches the Rfam family "Bacterial small subunit ribosomal RNA", at positions 355 to 921 of the family's 1533-position model. The record is from RNAcentral.
UGGGGAAUAUUGCACAAUGGGCGCAAGCCUGAUGCAGCCAUGCCGCGUGUGUGAAGAAGGCCUUCGGGUUGUAAAGCACUUUCAGCGAGGAGGAAGGUGGUGGACUUAAUACGUUCAUCAAUUGACGUUACUCGCAGAAGAAGCACCGGCUAACUCCGUGCCAGCAGCCGCGGUAAUACGGAGGGUGCAAGCGUUAAUCGGAAUUACUGGGCGUAAAGCGCACGCAGGCGGUUUGUUAAGUCAGAUGUGAAAUCCCCGGGCUCAACCUGGGAACUGCAUUUGAAACUGGCAAGCUAGAGUCUCGUAGAGGGGGGUAGAAUUCCAGGUGUAGCGGUGAAAUGCGUAGAGAUCUGGAGGAAUACCGGUGGCGAAGGCGGCCCCCCUGGACGAAGACUGACGCUCAGGUGCGAAAAGCGUGGGGAGCAAACAGGAUUAGAUACCCCUGGUAGUCCACGCUGUAAAACGAUGUCGAUUUGGAGGUUGUGCCCCUUGAGGCGUGGCUUCCGGAGCUAACGNGUUAAAUCGACCGCCUGGGGAGUACGGCCGCAAGGUUAAAACUUAAAGGAAUUGACGGGGUCU